UCACUUAGGGUGAGUAAGAAAUAUGUUAGGGAGAACGAAAAAGAGAAUCGGUAAGUGCCACAACUCUUGAAAAACCUAGCAAGCAUUGAAAAAAAUAAAAAAAAUUAGAAAAGAGAAACAUCUGUUUUGUGAAUACGUUGUGAAAAGAAAAGAAAAAAAUAGAGAAAAUGAAAAUGAAUGCUUGCUUGGAAGAAAAAUAGUGAAAAAGAAAAAUUGAGUUGUGAAAU
This 227-nucleotide long non-coding RNA is filed under the name Lathyrus oleraceus (garden pea). RNAcentral's name for it is "Pisum sativum (pea) long non-coding RNA (PSAT_LNC022159)". Lineage: Eukaryota; Viridiplantae; Streptophyta; Magnoliopsida; Fabales; Fabaceae. The record is from RNAcentral.